AACGAACGCUGGCGGCAGGCUUAACACAUGCAAGUCGAACGAGAUCUUCGGAUCUAGUGGCAGACGGGUGAGGAACACGUGGGAACAUUCCUUUCAGUUCGGAAUAACGUUGGGAAACUAACGCUAAUACCGGAUACGUCCUUCGGGAGAAAGAUUUAUCGCUGAAAGAUUGGCCCGCGUCUGAUUAGCUAGUUGGCGAGGUAACGGCUCACCAAGGCUACGAUCAGUAGCUGAUCUGAGAGGAGGAUCAGCCACAUUGGGACUGAGACACGGCCCAAACUCCGACGGGAGGCAGCAGUGGGGAAUAUUGGACAAUGGGCGCAAGCCUGAUCCAGCCAUGCCGCGUGAGUGAUGAAGGCCUUCGGGUUGUAAAGCUCUUUUGUCCGGGAAGAUAAUGACUGUACCGGAAGAAUAAGCCCCGGCAAACUUCGUGCCAGCCGCCGCCGUAA
RNAcentral lists this ribosomal RNA (449 nucleotides) under uncultured bacterium. RNAcentral describes it as "partial 16S ribosomal RNA". It matches the Rfam family "Bacterial small subunit ribosomal RNA", at positions 29 to 523 of the family's 1533-position model. The record is from RNAcentral.